This is an RNA transcript of Acinonyx jubatus (cheetah), 2590 nucleotides long. It is a transcript of the gene named polynucleotide kinase 3'-phosphatase, with no coding region annotated. The transcript is spliced from 17 exons. The record is from RefSeq and is a predicted model, not a curated record. Lineage: Eukaryota; Metazoa; Chordata; Mammalia; Carnivora; Felidae.
CAGGUCUGGAAAGGGGCAGGGCUCCUGUAAUGGGAGGAGCCAAGGCCCUGCCCCCUUUCGUAGGACGAGUCAUUUCCGUCCGCCGAGAAACAGAGAAAGAAGCCGGUGGAGUUGCGGGCAGAGCGCCUCGGGCCGGACUUCCCUGGUCGCAAGUGGCAGGCCGGCGCUAGGGAUGGCCGAGGUGGAGCCCCAGGGCCGCCUGUGGCUGGAGAGCCCCCCUGGGAGUGCGCCCCCCAUCUUCCUGCCCUCGGACGGGCAAGCCCUGGUCCUCGGCCGGGGACCCUUGACCCUGGUUACCGACCGGAAGUGCUCCAGAAACCAAGGUGGGCGGGGCCGGGGCUGCAGGGGGUGUGGUCCGCUGCUGGAGCGGGAACACAGUGCAGGAAAGCUGGACGGCCGGUCCAUGGAGCUGGUCGCAGACCCUGGGACUAAGACCGUGGCAGUGAAACAGCUGGGAAUUAACCCCUCAACUGCUGGGACCCAGGAGCUGAGUCCGGGGGCAGAAGGCUCUCUGAGGGUGGGGGACACACUGUAUUUGGUCAACGGCCUCCACCCGCUAACCCUGCGCUGGGAAGAGGCCCGCACGUCUGAAUCCCAGCAAGACACUCCACCCGGCACCCCUCCGGUGGCCCCAGACGCUUCAGGGGACGUUGAACCACCGAAGAAGAAGCGGAUGCGGAAGUCAUCCUCUGGCUGGGAGAAUUUUGAGAAGCUGCUAGUGUUUACAGCACCUGGGGUGAAGCCCCGGGGCAAGGUGGCCGCCUUUGAUCUGGAUGGGACCCUCAUCACCACCCGCUCUGGGAAGGUCUUUCCCACUGGCCCCAGUGACUGGAGGAUCUUGUACCUAGAGAUUCCCCGUAAGCUCCGGGAACUGGAUGCGGAAGGCUACAAGCUGGUGAUCUUCACCAACCAGAUGGGCAUCGGGCGUGGGAAGCUGCCAGCAGAGGAGUUCAAGGCCAAGGUGGAGGCUGUGGUGGUGAAGCUGGGCCUUCCCUUUCAGGUGCUGGUGGCCACGCACGCCGGCUUGUACCGGAAGCCGGUGAUCGGCAUGUGGGACCAUCUGCGGGAGCAGGCCAACGAGGGCGUGCCCAUCUCCGUAGGGGACAGUGUCUUUGUGGGAGACGCAGCCGGACGCCCAGCCAACUGGGCCCCGGGGCGGAAGAAGAAAGACUUCUCUUGUGCGGACCGUCUGUUUGCCCUCAACCUUGGCUUGCCCUUCGCCACACCGGAGGAGUUCUUCCUGAAGUGGCCCGUCGCCAGCUUUGUGCUCCCCACCUUUGACCCGAGAACCGUCUCCCCCUCGGGGCCGCUCUACCUCCCUGAGGCCAGCUCCCUCUUGAGUCACAGCCCUGAAGUGGUGGUCGCCGUGGGAUUUCCUGGGGCUGGCAAGACCACCUUCCUGCAGGAGCAUCUCGUGUCGGCUGGCUACGUCCACGUGAACCGGGACACCCUGGGCUCAUGGCAGCGCUGCGUGACCACGUGCGAGACCGCUCUAAAGCAAAGGAAACGGGUUGUGAUCGACAACACAAACCCGGACCCUCCCACCCGGGCCAGGUACAUUAAGUGCGCCCGGGACGCAGGGGUCCCUUGCCGCUGCUUCCUCUUCGGCGCCACACUGGAGCAGGCGCGCCACAACAACCGGAAAGCAGUUCGAGGCCCCGACGCUGGCGGAAGGCUUCUCGGCCAUCCUGGAAAUCCCGUUCCGGCUGAAUGUGGAGCCUCCCCUCGAGCGGCUGUACCGCCAGUUCUCAGAGGGCUGAGCUGCCCCUGCCCCCCAACCCCCAAUAAAUGGUUUUCCUUUAAGCUCGGGCACCAUUGUGCUGGGAAGAAGGGUGGUCUGCCCGGCCAAGGACUGGCACCCGGCUAGUCCCCAAGCGGGGGCGGGGGGGACUCCCGGGGUGGAUACAGGGGUGGGAUUUGUCCUGAGCGUGUCUGGCCAGAUGCCUCUCCCGCCGGAGUAACUGAGGCCUCUCAGCCCAUGGCUGUGGGUGCUCCAGCCCGAGGCUGGGGAGCCCCCGCAAGGGACACGGCCCCCCGGGGGGGGGGUGGGGGGGCGGGGUAGGGUCUUCCUUGCACGUGGCUGCCGGGCUGCAGAACCAGUGCAGGAGCAUGUGUGUUGUGACCCUGAGGAUAAGAGCUGGAUUUGGUGAGUGAGAAACUGCGAGCUGAAGUUGACCUUGGGGCAGGGCCUGCAGCAGUAAAGGGGGUGCUGGGAACACAGUCACAGGGGGCAGGUCCCCGGCCCCAGCUUGUGUUUGCUGCUGGCCAAGCACGACCUGUCGAACCCAAAGGGAUGGAGAGAGAACCCCAGCGGCAGUGGGGAGCAGGACCCAGACAUGCGACUGGCCUCGAAGAGAGGACCACUAGGCACGGCAGGGCCUGCAGUCUGGGGACCAACCUGCCACUGAAGGCAUAAGUGGCUCCACGUGCAGCCCGUCCAUCUUCGCUCAGGUUCCGCUGCAGGACCUGCUGCUGGUUGGCGAUGACGCGCCGGAUGCCGUUGACGAAGUUGCUCUGGUCGUGGGGGAUGAGGCCGAUGAAGAUCUUCUUCUCCGAGGAGUAGAGGAGCAUGAGCACGCGCACCUCGCAC